CAAAAACAUAGCCCUAGAUAAAAUCUAAGGUGUAACCUGCCCAGUGACUUUUAAAUAAAAGGAUAAAACCCUUAAAAUAAAGUUAAAAGGACGCGGUAACCUUGACCGUGAUAAUGUAGCAUAAUCACUCGCCAUUUAAUUGAUGGAUAGUAUGAAUGGUUGAACGAAUACUCCACUGUCUUAAAGAGAAUUAUAUUAAAUUGAAAUAAUAGUUAAGAUGCUAUUUUAAACUGUAAGACGAAAAGACCCUAUAGAGCUUAACUAUAAUCUCUUUACAAAAAAAUAAGAAAUUAAUCUUUAAACUAAAGAGACUGGUAGUUUAGUUGGGGCGACUGCCUUCUAAAAGAAACGAAGGCAAGCAAAGUUAAUAAAAUAACUUAUUGUAUAAUAAAAAAAUUUAACAAUUAUUAACGUAGGCUAUAUUGACCCGUUAAAAUAAUAUAAUAUAAUUAACGAUCAAUUAAUAAAAGCUACCUUAGGGAUAACAGGAUAAUUUUAUUUUAGAGUUCCAAUCGAAAAUAAAGUUUGUCACCUCGAUGUUGAAUUAUGA
Molecule: ribosomal RNA, 550 nt
Filed under: Helgicirrha malayensis
Lineage: Eukaryota; Metazoa; Cnidaria; Hydrozoa; Leptothecata; Eirenidae
Description: partial 16S ribosomal RNA
Rfam family: Bacterial large subunit ribosomal RNA
Source: RNAcentral